UACGGAGGGUACGAGCGUUACCCGGAUUUACUGGGUGUAAAGGGCGUGUAGGCGGCCUGUGGCGUCCCAUGAGAAAGGCCACGGCUCAACCGUGGAGGAGCGUGGGAUACGCUCAGGCUAGACGGUGGGAGAGGGUGGUGGAAUUCCCGGAGUAGCGGUGAAAUGCGCAGAUACCGGGAGGAACUCCGAUGGCGAAGGCAGACACCUGGUCCACAUGUGACGCUGAGGCGCGAAAGCGUGGGGAGCAACCCGG
Molecule: ribosomal RNA, 253 nt
Filed under: uncultured bacterium
Lineage: Bacteria
Description: partial 16S ribosomal RNA
Rfam family: Bacterial small subunit ribosomal RNA
Source: RNAcentral